This 1368-nucleotide ribosomal RNA is filed under the name uncultured bacterium. Its description in RNAcentral is "bacterial SSU rRNA". It matches the Rfam family "Bacterial small subunit ribosomal RNA". The record is from RNAcentral.
GAGUUUGAUCCUGGCUCAGGACGAACGCUGGCGGCGCGCCUAAUACAUGCAAGUCGAGCGAGAACCAGGUCUUGCCCUGGGGAGAGCGGCGAACGGGUGCGUAUCACGUGAGCAACCUGCCUCAGAGACCGGAAUAACUCGAGGAAACUCGGGCUAAUGCCGGAUGCCCUCGAUGGAUCGCAUGAUCCGACGAGGAAAUGGAUUCCGCUCUGAGAUGGGCUCGCGGCCUAUCAGCUUGUUGGUGGGGUAACGGCCUACCAAGGCAACGACGGGUAGCUGGUCUGAGAGGACGAUCAGCCACACUGGGACUGAGACACGGCCCAGACUCCUACGGGAGGCAGCAGUAGGGAAUCUUGCGCAAUGGGCGAAAGCCUGACGCAGCGACGCCGCGUGCGGGAUGAAGGCCUUCGGGUCGUAAACCGCUUUCAGCAGGGACGAAAUUGACGGUACCUGCAGAAGAAGGCCCGGCCAACUACGUGCCAGCAGCCGCGGUGAUACGUAGGGGUCUAGCGUUGUCCGGAAUCAUUGGGCGUAAAGAGCUCGUAGGCGGUUCGGCAAGUCGGAUGUGAAAUCUCCACGCUCAACGUGGAGGGGCCAUUCGAAACUGCUGUGACUCGAGUCCGGUAGGGGAGUUCGGAAUUCCCGGUGUAGCGGUGAAAUGCGCAGAUAUCGGGAGGAACACCAGUGGCGAAGGCGGAACUCUGGGCCGGAACUGACGCUGAGGAGCGAAAGCGUGGGGAGCGAACAGGAUUAGAUACCCUGGUAGUCCACGCCGUAAACGUUGGGCACUAGGUGUGGGACUCUAUCGACGGGUUCCGUGCCGUAGCUAACGCAUUAAGUGCCCCGCCUGGGGAGUACGGCCGCAAGGCUAAAACUCAAAGGAAUUGACGGGGACCCGCACAAGCGGCGGAGCAUGCGGAUUAAUUCGAUAAUAACCGAAGAACCUUACCCAGGUUUGACAUCAAGAGCAACUCUCUGAAAGGAGAGCCUCGGCCACAAGCCGACUCGAAGACACCUGUUGCAUGGCUGUCGUCAGCUCGUGCCGUGAGGUGUUUGGUUAAGUCCAGCAACGAGCGCAACCCUCGUCUUAUGUUGCCAGCGGGUAAUGCCGGGAACUCAUGAGAGACUGCCUAUGUAAGUAGGAGGAAGGUGAGGAUGACGUCAAGUCAGCAUGGCGGUUACGCCUGGGGCUUCACACAUGCUACAAUGGGCGCAACAAAGGGCAGCAAUACCGCGAGGUGGAGCUAAUCCCAAAAAUACGCCCCCAGUUCAGAUUGCAGUCUGCAACUCGACUGCAUGAAGGUGGAAUCGCUAGUAAACGCAGGUCAGCUAUACUGCGUUGAAUACGUUCCCGGGGUUUGCACACAC